Homo sapiens (human) is the source of this 546-nucleotide long non-coding RNA. The record is from Ensembl. NCBI's taxonomy places the organism in Eukaryota, Metazoa, Chordata, Mammalia, Primates, Hominidae.
GAGCUGCUGCAACUGGCCUCUUUCUCUUGAUAGUUAGACGAAAGACCCCUCUCAGGCUCCCUGAGACUCCUCAGAACAGCAGAACAGCAGCAGUGCGAUGUUGGAUAAUGAGAUCUGCUCUCUUCUGAAGUGGUUAGAUUUGAAAAGCCAGCGAAGCUGUCAUUAGCAAGGCAUUUUCUUUUCAUUUCAACCAUUUCAUUAUAUCCUUUACCAAAUUUGAGUUUAUGAAAUAUUUGACAGGCCUCCUGAUGUUUUCCUAUGUUGAUGAAAGACGGAUGCUGUUUGUGUAAAAGGAAAAGGCAUGCUAUAAAAAGAAAAAGAAGGAUAAAAAGGGCCGGGCAGGGAGGCAGAGGUUGCAGUGAGCAGAGAUCGUGCUGCUGCUAAAAAACACAAAAAUUAGCUGGGCGUGGUGACGGGUGCCUGUAAUCCCAGAUACUCAGGAGGCUGAGGCAGGAGAAUCGCUUGAACCCGGAAAGUGGAGGUUGCAUUGAGCUGAGAUUGAGCCAUUGCACUCCAGCCUGGGCAACAAGAGCAAAACUCCAUCUC